Molecule: ribosomal RNA, 448 nt
Filed under: uncultured bacterium
Lineage: Bacteria
Description: bacterial SSU rRNA
Rfam family: Bacterial small subunit ribosomal RNA
Source: RNAcentral
CCCAGACUCCUACGGGAGGCAGCAGUGGGGAAUAUUGGACAAUGGGGGGAACCCUGAUCCAGCGACGCCGCGUGAGUGAAGAAGUAUCUCGGUAUGUAAAGCUCUCUCAGCAGGGAAGAAAGAAAUGACGGUACCUGACUAAGAAGCCCCGGCUAACUACGUGCCAGCAGCCGCGGUAAUACGUAGGGGGCAAGCGUUAUCCGGAUUUACUGGGUGUAAAGGGGGCGCAGACGGCAGCGCAAGCCAGGAGUGAAAGCCCGGGGCCCAACCCCGGGACUGCUCUGGAAACUGUGCGGCUAGAGUACUGGAGGGGCAGGCGGAAUUCCUAGUGUAGCGGUGAAAUGCGUAGAUAUUAGGAGGAACACCAGUGGCGAAGGCGGCCUGCUGGACAGUAACUGACGUUGAGGCUCGAAAGCGUGGGGAGCAAACAGGAUUAGAUACCCCUGUA